ACCGCGGUAGCCCAGUUGGUAGUGGCGUAGGCAGUACAGAUGCCGAAGGUCGCAGGUUCAAAUCCUGCCUGCGGUG
This is a non-coding RNA of Phthorimaea operculella (potato tuberworm), 76 nucleotides long. NCBI's taxonomy places the organism in Eukaryota, Metazoa, Arthropoda, Insecta, Lepidoptera, Gelechiidae. The record is from the annotation of a GenBank genome assembly.